This 558-nucleotide ribosomal RNA is filed under the name uncultured bacterium. RNAcentral's name for it is "partial 16S ribosomal RNA". It matches the Rfam family "Bacterial small subunit ribosomal RNA", at positions 355 to 905 of the family's 1533-position model. The record is from RNAcentral.
UGGGGAAUUUUGGACAAUGGGGGAAACCCUGAUCCAGCCAUCCCGCGUGUGCGAUGAAGGCCUUCGGGUUGUAAAGCACUUUUGGCAGGAAAGAAACGUCGCGGGUUAAUACCCCGCGAAACUGACGGUACCUGCAGAAUAAGCACCGGCUAACUACGUGCCAGCAGCCGCGGUAAUACGUAGGGUGCAAGCGUUAAUCGGAAUUACUGGGCGUAAAGCGUGCGCAGGCGGUUCGGAAAGAAAGAUGUGAAACUCCCAGAGCUUAACUUUGGAACUGCAUUUUUAACUACCGGGCUAGAGUGUGUCAGAGGGAGGUGGAAUUCCGCGUGUAGCAGUGAAAUGCGUAGAUAUGCGGAGGAACACCGAUGGCGAAGGCAGCCUCCUGGGAUAACACUGACGCUCAUGCACGAAAGCGUGGGGAGCAAACAGGAUUAGAUACCCUGGUAGUCCACGCCCUAAACGAUGUCAACUAGCUGUUGGGGCCUUCGGGCCUUGGUAGCGCAGCUAACGCGUGAAGUUGACCGCCUGGGGAGUACGGUCGCAAGAUUAAAACUCAAA